AGAACGAACGCUGGCGGCGUGCUUAACACAUGCAAGUCCAACGUGAAAGGGGAGCAAUCCCCCGGUAGGGUGGCAAACGGGUGAGUAAUACAUGGGUGAUCUACCUUAGGGAUGGGGAUAUCCUUCCGAAAGGAGGGGCAAUACCGAAUAUUGUCCGGAGCCGUGAAGGGUUCCGGGGAAAGGGAGGCCUCUGAUACGAAGCUUUCGCCUUAAGAUGAGCCCAUGGCCCAUCAGCUAGUUGGUAGGGUAAAGGCCUACCAAGGCUACGACGGGUCGCUGGUCUGAGAGGACGACCAGCCACACUAGGCACUGAGAUACGGGCCAGACUCCUACGGAGGCAGC
This 342-nucleotide ribosomal RNA is filed under the name uncultured prokaryote. Its description in RNAcentral is "bacterial SSU rRNA". It matches the Rfam family "Bacterial small subunit ribosomal RNA", at positions 26 to 352 of the family's 1533-position model. The record is from RNAcentral.